Molecule: ribosomal RNA, 614 nt
Filed under: Eulimnogammarus verrucosus
Lineage: Eukaryota; Metazoa; Arthropoda; Malacostraca; Amphipoda; Eulimnogammaridae
Description: SSU rRNA
Rfam family: Eukaryotic small subunit ribosomal RNA
Source: RNAcentral
AGUCAUAUGCUUGUCUCAAAGAUUAAGCCAUGCAUGUCUAAGUCCAAGCUGUGUUCACACGGCGAGACCGCGGACGGCUCAUUAAAUCAGUCGUGGUCCAAAUGGGCCAGUGCAAAUCCUACUUGGAUAACUGUGGUAAUUCCAGAGCUAAUACAUGCAACUGAUAUCCCGAAGGCGGUGUUGGGGCUUGCUUGCCUUGCGCUGCGCUGCUCUGACGGAUGCUUUUAUUAGACCAAGCCGCUGAGGACUUGAGGGUUCGCGCUCUCUUGUUUGACUCGUGUGAUGGUGACUCUGGAUAACCAAAUUCUGACAAGCGCACGUACUUCUCUUCUGAGCGAGACGGCGCUGCCACUUUCGAGUGUCUGCCUUAUCAGCUAUCAACCGUUCGUUAUGCGCGACCGAUGGCUUUGACGGGUAACGGGGAAUCAGGGUUCGAUUCCGGAGAGGCAGCCUGAGAGACGGCUACCACGUCCAAGGACGGCAGCAGGCACGCAAAUUACCCAAUCCCAGCAAAUGGGGGAGGUAGUGACGAAAUCUAACGAUGCGGGCGCCCUUUCUGGGGCCCCGCAAUCGGAAUGGGCACUUUCUAAACAACCUGUUGAGAACCUACUGAA